Molecule: ribosomal RNA, 305 nt
Filed under: uncultured bacterium
Lineage: Bacteria
Description: bacterial SSU rRNA
Rfam family: Bacterial small subunit ribosomal RNA
Source: RNAcentral
CCCCCUACGGGGCGCAGCAGUGGGGGAUAUUGCACAAUGGGGGGAACCCUGAUGCAGCGACGCCGCGUGGGCGAUGGAGUACUUCGGUAUGUAAAGCCCUAUCAGCAGGGAAGAAAAUGACGGUACCUGACUAAGAAGCCCCGGCUAAAUACGUGCCAGCAGCCGCGGUAAUACGUAUGGGGCAAGCGUUAUCCGGAUUUACUGGGCGUAAAGUGAGCGUAGGCGGCCUGGCAAGCCUGAUGUGAAAUACCGGGGCCCAACCCCGGGGCUGCAUUGGUAACUGCAAGGCUGGAGUGCCGGAGAGG